Molecule: RNA transcript, 3318 nt
Organism: Spodoptera frugiperda (fall armyworm)
Lineage: Eukaryota; Metazoa; Arthropoda; Insecta; Lepidoptera; Noctuidae
Gene name: zinc finger protein 37-like
Exons: 17
Source: RefSeq, a predicted model, not a curated record
AACCGUCAAACGUGACGCCAUAUUGUUUAUGUCAGACAAAAUUUGUUUAAUCUUGUCUGCGUAAGCUUAAAACUCUAUUUAAACCCAAAAAUAAUCAAAUAAAAAUGGAAACAUUAAGUUUAGACAACGAAUAUGAUGUUAAAAUAGUUUUUGAACCGCCAAAAGCCAUUUGCAGGUGUUGUUUAACGACGGAUAAGCGAAUGAACAAUGCCGUAGCUUUCAAACAGUUAUUUAAGGAUUUAGCUGGUUUAAACGUAACGGAGUCAGAUGGUCUGCCGCAGUGGCUCUGCUACGAAUGCAGUGCGUUGCUACAGAAGUCGGUUAGGUUCCAGCAGAAGGUUCAGAAAGCUCAUACUAUGCUGUAUGAGUACCUUGCACGGUGUGCUCCGUUCCCAAUAGAGCCGCAAGACGAGGAGUUGACGAAGUACGCGAGCCCCCACUACAGCACCACCACCGUACUCGCCAUAGAUAUAGGGGGUAGGGGGAAGGUGGGACACUUCGAGGUUUAUGAGCAUGAGAAGCAACAUCAGCCCUCAGGCCUGGACGAUAUAAUAAUAAAUAAGAUAGAAGAGAAUGUCAAAGAAGAAACAGAAUUCUCCGACUAUGAAGAUAAUAUGACGUUAGAAGAAUUUAGAUCUGUAGCAAAUAAAAUAACAGAGGACGACAUAGCGUCCUUAUUACAAGAGACUGAAGAUAUAGAAGUAAAACAAGAAGAAAUAGCAAAGAAGAAGAAGAUUAAAACUAAAGAAGUUAAAAAGAAGAGAAAAGAGAAUAAUACUAAUGUAGAUUCUGCAAAGGAGGACUCCGCUGAUGAACCGAAGUCUUCAAUCAGGAAGCCGAUUGAGUUGGAUCCGACUAAGAUACGAGUGGUCACAUUAAAUCCAGAGGAACAGAUUAAACAGAGAGAGGAGGAGAGUAAAAACGGAAAGAAAUACCCGUUUCUAUGCAAUUUGUGUUAUAAGGGGUUCAACUUUGAGUCCAAAUUGCAGAAUCAUAUGAGCAAGCAUAGUCCGUCUCGAGGCCCGUACGAGUGCAAGAUAUGCCACAUGUACCUCCCGACGUCGUACAGUUUCAGUGUACACUCACUCAUCCACACCCGGAGGUACGAGUGUCUGGUGUGUGGGCGGCGGAUGAUCGAUAGGCCGUCUAUUAUUGAGCAUUAUAGAACACAGCACGAAGGUUUACUCAGUAGUUUCACGUGUCAAAUAUGCGGUAAAGUUUCCAAUAACAGCAAGACCCACAGGAGCCACAUGCGCAACAACCACGGCGGCGACCGGCCCAAGUGCGAGCAGUGCGGGAAGUCGUUCGUUAAUAAAGACUCGCUCAUUGAACAUCAGCAAAUACACUUAGGCAUAAAGAACUAUGAAUGCCAGAUAUGCAACAAGCGGUUUCGAACCCGCACCCAGAUACACAACCACCAAAUGUCCCACACUGAUGUCAAGGAGUUCUACUGUGUGGAGUGUGAUGUCAGAUUUAAAUCAGCUCACAGUUUGAAGACGCAUCUAUCGAGGAGUAUGAAACAUAGGGAUAAGCAGAGUUUCAAACACAUAUGCGCGCGCUGCCCCGCUCGCUACGCGUGCGCGGCGUCGCUGGCGGCGCACGUGCGCGUGCAGCACGAGGGCGUGCGCCCCCACGUGUGCGGGGACUGCGGGGCCGCGCUGGCCACGCGCUCCUCGCUCGCCAAGCACAUGCACUCCGUACACAUGGGCCUCCGCCCCCCGCCGCGGCACGUGUGCGAUACUUGCGGGAAGGCGUUUAGGGGUAAGAGCGUGCUAACGAACCACGCCCGCACGCACACGGGCGAGAAGCCGUUCGAGUGCCACCACUGCGGGCGCCGCUUCGCGCAGCGCACCUCCAUGCGCACGCACGUCAAACUCGUGCAUCUCAAACUCAGGCGCGCCGGGAAGCAGGUAAAACCAGUAGCAAUCAUAGAUGUCCAAUCGUCUCGUGUCGACGUGUUCAAGCCGGAACCACCUGUAGCAGACACUUGGCGACAACCUUGCGACGUCUACUUCCAAGUUACAGCGGGGCCCUGAAACCUGUGGACCUCACAAGUCAGUGGGCCCCUGAGAACUUUGGGCCCUUGACAGUUUUUUUAGCAUUACAGGCCACUUAAAUCCGUCAUCCCUUGAAAGCAAUGAAGCUUUAAAAACUGUGAGUCCCUAUGCAUUACGGGCCCCUGAGAGAUAAGAGGACCCAAAACAUACGAGGGCCCUUGACAUAAGGGGGCCCUGGAACAUGUUGGGCCCAUAAUGCAUGCGACCCAUAAACCUGGGACCCAAAAACCUGCGUGCCAUAUUGAAACACGCGAUCGCUUUAAUUUAUACAACGAAAAAUAAAAUAAAAUAUAAAAGAAAGUAUUUAAUUAUUGUAAUUAUGAUUGUACAUAAAUUGUUUUUUUAUACAUUUAAUAUAAUUUACGAUAUAUCCUGAUUCUCUGCUUGUUUCCGGGGUUUAAAAGGCCUUAUGUGUGUAAAAAUCUGAAUAGUUUGUUUAUUUGAACGUUCUAAUCUCCGGAACUACUGGUCUGAUUUGGAUAAUUAUUAAUUAUUUUAUGUUAUCGGCUUACUCACGUAACUGUUUGACGAGGAACUCGCCUAGUUUCAAGCCAUGCUAGAGGCUCAUAUUCAUGAGCGGCAUUCCGCGACACACGACGCGGCGACUGUCGCUGCUACUGAAACUAGUCGAGUUCCUCGUCAAACAGUUACGUGAGUAAGCCGAUAACAUAAUAAUUAAUUUAGUAUGUCUCACGAAAGUUGAAUAAUUACUUUUGUGUUGGAUAGCGCAAUUAUCGAGGAAGGCUAUAGGCUAUAAAACAUUACGCUAUGACCAAUAGGAGCCGAGCAGAGUGGGUGAAACCGCGUGGAAGUAGCUAGUUACUUAUUAAUAUAUAAGCUGAAGAGUUUGUUUGUUUCUUAGUAAUCUCUGGAACUUAUAACAGAUCAUGAUCUCAUUAAAAGAAUUUGUUUGAAUACUUUAAAAUAUACCAUUUUUUUAUACUAUUCAACUGAUGGUAGCGUGGACUGUCCAGGCGAUACGUACUUAGGUAUCGUCAUGAGCUAAUGGUAACAUGUAAACAGUGACUCGUGUAGUGUAGAGAUUGUCCAGUCAACUGAUGGUAGCGUGGACUGUCCAGGCGAUACGUACUUAGGUAUCGUCAUGAGCUAAUGGUAACAUGUAAACAGUGACUCGUGUAGUGUAGAGAUUGUCCAGUCAACUGAUGGUAGCGUGGACUGUCCAGGCGAUACGUACUUAGGUAUCGUCAUGAGCUAAUGGUAACAUGUAAACAGUGACUCGUGUAGUGUAGAGAUUGUCCAG